Balaenoptera ricei (Rice's whale) is the source of this 1000-nucleotide long non-coding RNA. RefSeq lists it as uncharacterized. Lineage: Eukaryota; Metazoa; Chordata; Mammalia; Artiodactyla; Balaenopteridae. The transcript is spliced from 8 exons. The record is from RefSeq and is a predicted model, not a curated record.
GGGAAGGGAGUGUGUCAGCAGCAGACAGCGAGCAGGUCCAGCCCUUACUGCAGAGUCCAGCGGGAAGCCAACAGGAAAAGGAGACGCAGAGUUCCAGACUUCCCUUCUAAAACAGCAGUUCAAAGAAACACAGUGAUGACACAGUGAUGACACUGACAUUGCCCACUUACCAGAUCUUGGUGAAUCUGCUGGUCCGUGCAGCCCAUUUCACAGUGAGUUUUGAUGGCCCAGGCCUUCUGAGUGCAGCCUUCAUGCCAUGGAUUGAGCAGAUACCAGAGCUUUCACACCAGAAAGCAGCCGUAUGCAAGCCAGGAGGACUCUCACCAGAAACCCACCCUGCUGGGCCUGGACCUUGGACUUCCAGCCUCCAGAACUAUUUAGUGAUGGUGACGGGAUCCGAAGGAAACAUCUGAUGGCUCUGAGGACAACACGAGACACAGGGAAGGACACUUUGAGAGCAUCUUUCCCGCCGUCGCGAGGGCCGUGGUAAGAAAAAAGACUGCCCUUGCGUCUCCUUGGAAGGGACUCUACCAGAUCUUCCUCACUAACCUGAUGGCAGCCAACCUGCAAGGACUUGAAACUUGGGUACAUAUCUCACAACUGAAGAAGUCCCCACCUGAUGUUGGGUCCUGUACACCCACUGAAGACCUCAAAAUCAAAUUGAGAAGUAGCCGAUGUUGAGGUGAACAUUUAGAUACUACAGAGAUGACAUGUCACUAAGACACAUGGUAUGAAUAUAUAGGAGGCCCAUAUCUGGACAAAGACAUAUGGGAAAAAGGAGAUCAGGAGGAGAAUUCUCCCAGAACAGAAUAGACACUUCUGACAAAAUUCACCCUUUUACCACAAUGCUCAGGGCCUCACUGAUGAAGCCCGCUCUAAAGGAUGAUCUUCUACUGGCCUUAUAAAGGAAAACAACAGUGCACACACGUUUUGAUCUAUUUUUCCAAAUUUCGUCUCUUCAAAUACACAUAUGGCAGAUGAAUAAACAGAUGUCACUUUU